GGCGGCGUAGCUCAGCUGGUUAGAGCACACGGUUCAUACCCGUGGUGUCGGUGGUUCGAGUCCACUCGCCGCUACCA
This 77-nucleotide transfer RNA is filed under the name Alicyclobacillus hesperidum. RNAcentral's name for it is "tRNA-Met". It matches the Rfam family "tRNA". From Rfam's summary of the family: Transfer RNA (tRNA) molecules are approximately 80 nucleotides in length. Their secondary structure includes four short double-helical elements and three loops (D, anti-codon, and T loops). RNAcentral also lists the same sequence under 3 other names. Lineage: Bacteria; Bacillati; Bacillota; Bacilli; Caryophanales; Alicyclobacillaceae. The record is from RNAcentral.